RNAcentral lists this ribosomal RNA (274 nucleotides) under uncultured bacterium. RNAcentral's name for it is "partial 16S ribosomal RNA". It matches the Rfam family "Bacterial small subunit ribosomal RNA", at positions 523 to 796 of the family's 1533-position model. The record is from RNAcentral.
AUACGGAGGGUGCAAGCGUUAAUCGGAUUUACUGGGCGUAAAGCGUACGUAGGCGGUUUGAUAAGUCAGAUGUGAAAGCCCCGGGCUCAACCUGGGAACUGCAUUUGAAACUGUCAGACUAGAGUUUGGUAGAGGGUAGUAGAAUUCCUGGUGUAGCGGUGAAAUGCGUAGAUAUCAGGAGGAAUACCAGUGGCGAAGGCGGCUACCUGGACCAAAACUGACGCUGAGGUACGAAAGCGUGGGGAGCAAACAGGAUUAGAAACCCCUGUAGUCC